GCGGUGGGUUCGGGGCGGCUGCGGGCGGCUGCCCGGGGCUGCUUCAGCCAGGAGAGGGCUGCGGGGGCUGCUCGGGGCCCUGUGGCGGCGAGAAGCGAGGGUUUGGUCCCCGUGGCGGCGCCGGAGCCCAGCCGUGUGUGAGGCGCGGUGCUGGCCCUGGGGGCUCUCUGAGGGGUGGGGUCGGCCCUGGGCUCCUUGCGGUGACGGUCACGGCUUAACGGCGGGGCGGCUGCGCUAUGAAAGCUACGAGCUGUCCCUCGGAAGGCAGCAAAAGAAUUUCGGAGAUGAGCUGGUUUCUGGCUCUGGAAAUCUUCAGCCCAGACUGUGCUAUGCUGCUAUCAUGCAAGCAGGAGGAUGUCACAUGAAUUGUGGAGCUACAGAGCUGAGUUCUGCCUUUGUACAAACUACGUGAUCUCUGGUGCAUGGACCAGUAGGCUGCUAUUUCUCCUUUGAAUGCUGUCAGCAAGAGUACUGGAAGGUGCCAUCAGAUGGCCUCUGGUGUCCUCAAGCUGUGUGCAUGCAGCCAGCAGCAGACUCUGCCAACUCCCAGAAACUCCCAGAAGUGUGGCUGCUGAAGAAGGUGAGUUGCUUUCCAGCUGUGGUGGCACAGCGCUCAGGCUCCAGGAAGCCAUACUGCAAGCUGGGGAAGAUGGGUACGGGGUGCUGCUGUGUGGAGCUCUGCUGGCUUAUGUCAGCCGGAGUUGUGCCCUGUUAGCCAGGGAUACUUCUGUUCUCGACUGGUGACACUGAUACAAGUCGUAAAGUUUUUGCUAAAAACAUCACAGAGGAGAAGCUAGGGAGAGGCAAGGAUAAAAAAAAUCAUGCUCUUCUUGGAAGCAAACAAACAAACGUCUAAGGAUAUACUUUCCUUAGUAUGGUUUGUCAGAAAUAAUUUCUAAAAAAAUUCUAUUUAACUCUUUUAUGGAAGUAAUUUUACUGGCAUAAUGAUGAAAUAAUGAUUUGCCGUUUACCCAUCUGACUGGUUAUUGAUGUGUAUCUUUAUAUCUGAAAUGCCAGUAAAAGUUAGUAAUUUUGUAUAAAGUUAAUAAAGGUUACAGAAAAUUGACUAAAUUUGAAAUGCUUUUUUAUUUUUCCAGAUAGAAAUCCACACUUCAGACGUGUUUACUAAUGCACUCGGAAAUGCUUUUGAGGCCCUUCUUGCUUCUCAGAAAUGCUGCUUGAUUCAAAGACUGAGUUCAGUGAAAAUGUGAAUAACUCCUGAAUGGGGUUCAGGUGAGAGCAUGACUCUAGGAGGAGAGGUAGCCCUGCAGCCACUCUUACAACUCAGCAUGGACAGUGAAGUGCACUCAGAAUGAUAAAUUUGAAUAAAUCAAGUGUUACAAGAUGUAGGAGAACUUGUGUGUUACCUUGUCUAAAUGAGUGUUUAUAAUGUUAACAGGGGCAGCUGUUCUGCUCAUCUACAGUGCAGUGUUUGCAUAAAUAAAAUCCUGAAUUUCUGUUUC
Molecule: non-coding RNA, 1463 nt
Organism: Anas platyrhynchos (mallard)
Lineage: Eukaryota; Metazoa; Chordata; Aves; Anseriformes; Anatidae
Source: RefSeq, a predicted model, not a curated record